GUGAGGAGCGGCGGACGGGUUAGUAACGCGUGGGAAUAUACCCUUCACUAUGGAAUAGCCUCGGGAAACUGAGAGUAAUGCCAUAUACGCCCUUCGGGGGAAAGAUUUAUCGGUGAAGGAUUAGCCCGCGUAAGAUUAGAUAGUUGGUGGGGUAAUGGCCUACCAAGUCUACGAUCUUUAGCUGGUUUGAGAGGAUGAUCAGCAACACUGGGACUGAGGCACGGCCCAGACUCCUACGGGAGGCAGCAGUGGGGAAUCUUAGACAAUGGGCGCAAGCCUGAUCUAGCCAUGCCGCGUGAGUGACGAAGGUCUUAGGAUCGUAAAGCUCUUUCGCCAGAGAUGAUAAUGACAGUAUCUGGUAAAGAAACCCCGGCUAACUCCGUGCCAGCAGCCGCGGUAAUACGGAGGGGGUUAGCGUUGUUCGGAAUUACUGGGCGUAAAGCGUACGUAGGCGGAUUGGAAAGUAGGGGGUGAAAUCCCAGGGCUCAACCCUGGAACUGCCUCCUAAACUAUCAGUCUAGAGUUCGAGAGAGGUGAGUGGAAUUCCAAGUGUAGAGGUGAAAUUCGUAGAUAUUUGGAGGAACACCAGUGGCGAAGGCGGCUCACUGGCUCGAUACUGACGCUGAGGUACGAAAGUGUGGGGAGCAAACAGGAUUAGAUACCCUGGUAGUCCACACCGUAAACGAUGAAUGCCAGUCGG
This 700-nucleotide ribosomal RNA is filed under the name uncultured bacterium. RNAcentral's name for it is "bacterial SSU rRNA". It matches the Rfam family "Bacterial small subunit ribosomal RNA", at positions 88 to 823 of the family's 1533-position model. The record is from RNAcentral.